RNAcentral lists this transfer-messenger RNA (351 nucleotides) under Desulfobacterales bacterium. It matches the Rfam family "transfer-messenger RNA". Rfam says of the family: Bacterial tmRNA, also known as 10Sa RNA or SsrA, is named for its dual tRNA and mRNA-like properties. Its role is to liberate the mRNA from a stalled ribosome. To accomplish this part of the tmRNA is used as a reading frame that ends in a translation stop signal. The record is from RNAcentral. Lineage: Bacteria; Pseudomonadati; Thermodesulfobacteriota; Desulfobacteria; Desulfobacterales.
GGGGGCGAAACGGAUUCGACGGAGAUAAAGAAGCAUCGGCUGCAUACCGAGGUCCUGUCGGCUCGUAAAAAGGCAGGAAACUAAAAUAAUCGCAGACGAUUAUAACUACGCUUUAGCCGCUUAAGGCUAACGUCCUGUCUGAUUUCUCCUGCGGAUCAGGCAAGGGCGCCGACUAGCAGGAUAACUGGCUCUGAAUUCCCGUUGCGGCGCCGGUGAAUUUUUUUCGGGAUAGCCUUUUAAAACUCGUGCCUGAACGAGACUUAAUCGGCGACAAUUAAUUUUCAGGCUAAGUAUGUAGAUGCCUGUGUGGAAUAUUUUCGGACGCGGGUUCGACUCCCGCCGCCUCCACAA